This 252-nucleotide ribosomal RNA is filed under the name uncultured bacterium. Its description in RNAcentral is "partial 16S ribosomal RNA". It matches the Rfam family "Bacterial small subunit ribosomal RNA", at positions 524 to 776 of the family's 1533-position model. The record is from RNAcentral.
UACGUAGGGGGCAAGCGUUGUCCGGAAUUAUUGGGCGUAAAGCGCGCGCAGGCGGGCAAUUAAGUUGGGUGUUUAAGCCCGGGGCUCAACCCCGGUUCGCAUCCAAAACUGGUUGACUUGAGUGUAGGAGAGGAAAGUGGAAUUCCACGUGUAGCGGUGAAAUGCGUAGAGAUGUGGAGGAACACCAGUGGCGAAGGCGACUUUCUGGCCUAUAACUGACGCUGAGGCGCGAAAGCGUGGGGAGCAAACAGG